This is a small nucleolar RNA of Gastrolobium bilobum, 107 nucleotides long. NCBI's taxonomy places the organism in Eukaryota, Viridiplantae, Streptophyta, Magnoliopsida, Fabales, Fabaceae. The record is from RefSeq and is a predicted model, not a curated record.
AUUCCAUGUUGAGGACACUUCUUGAGUAAUCCUUUAAAUCGUUCCCAAGCCUCGUAUAAAGAUUCGCUGUCUUUUUGUUCAAAAGUUGUGUUCUCCGCCUUGAGCCU